AUACGGAGGGCGCAAGCGUUGUUCGGAAUUAUUGGGCGUAAAGCGCGUGUAGGCGGCUUGGUAAGUCGGGUGUGAAAUCCCGGGGCCCAACCCCGGAACUGCACUCGAUACUGCUUGUCUAGAGUCCCGGAGAGGAGAGCGGAAUUCCCGGUGUAGAGGUGAAAUUCGUAGAUAUCGGGAGGAACACCAGUGGCGAAGGCGGCUCUCUGGACGGUGACUGACGCUGAGAUGCGAAAGCGUGGGGAGCAAACAGGAGUAGAUACCCCGGUAGUCC
This 274-nucleotide ribosomal RNA is filed under the name uncultured bacterium. Its description in RNAcentral is "partial 16S ribosomal RNA". It matches the Rfam family "Bacterial small subunit ribosomal RNA", at positions 523 to 796 of the family's 1533-position model. The record is from RNAcentral.